Molecule: unclassified non-coding RNA, 331 nt
Filed under: soil metagenome
Description: partial contains 5.8S ribosomal RNA, internal transcribed spacer 2, and large subunit ribosomal RNA
Rfam family: 5.8S ribosomal RNA (bases 1-120)
Source: RNAcentral
GAUGAAGAACGUAGCGAAAUGCGAUAAGUAAUGUGAAUUGCAGAAUUCAGUGAAUCAUCGAAUCUUUGAACGCACAUUGCGCCCCCUGGUAUUCCGGGGGGCAUGCCUGUUCGAGCGUCAUUUCACCACUCAAGCCUCGCUUGGUAUUGGGCAACGCGGUCCGCCGCGUGCCUCAAAUCGACCGGCUGGGUCUUCUGUCCCCUAAGCGUUGUGGAAACUAUUCGCUAAAGGGUGUUCGGGAGGCUACGCCGUAAAACAACCCCAUUUCUAAGGUUGACCUCGGAUCAGGUAGGGAUACCCGCUGAACUUAACCAUAUCAAUAAGCGGAGGA